Non-coding RNA from Punica granatum (pomegranate), 542 nucleotides. The record is from RefSeq and is a predicted model, not a curated record. Lineage: Eukaryota; Viridiplantae; Streptophyta; Magnoliopsida; Myrtales; Lythraceae.
GAGAAGUGGGCCGAAGAUGAAGCAAACGGAGCUUCUUGAGAGUGGGAUAUUAUAAGCCUCAAGAACACGACGGCUUGGCGGGUAUCUUAUGGACUAUAAGAGUAGAGGGCCAAUGGUGGGUGAGCAGAGAGCGAGGAGAGAAGAGGAAGAAGAAGAAUGAAAUCAGUGGAGGGGAGCACGUCGGCCGGUAUUGGGGAAGGAAAUUUCCGAUUUUUAAGGAAAAUAAAUAAUAAUCAUACAUAUAUAUAUAUAUAUAUAUAUAUAUAAAGAUGUUAAAAAAGUAAAUAAAGGAAAUUGUUUGUUGGAGAAGGGGAAAAGGGAGGAAAAGUCGACUCUUUUUCGGAAGCAAAGAAAGAACCAGACAGUGGAUUGGAAGCCCCGGCGGCCUCCACUGUUUGGCUCUCCAUCUCACACUGUUUCGAUCAUUGAUGAGGAUUAUUGAUUGCUUCGGUUUCGUCGGCUCCCACUCCCCCUGGUUUCCCCAAGUUAAUAUUAAUAAUAAUAAUUGAUGCGAAAAAAAAAAAAAAAAGUUCGAGUCGGAA